Molecule: long non-coding RNA, 1048 nt
Organism: Triticum dicoccoides
Lineage: Eukaryota; Viridiplantae; Streptophyta; Magnoliopsida; Poales; Poaceae
Exons: 5
Source: RefSeq, a predicted model, not a curated record
ACCCAGCCACCCUGAAUCAGUCUCAGGCUCUCAGCCACUCCCGUGCGUGCUGCUGGAUAGGGUUUGCCGCCGCCCUCACUGGUCGCCGCCGCCACCCUCACUGGUCGCCGCCGCCGCCCUCACCGGUCGCCGCCGCCGUCGGUUUCCCCUACAUGGCCAGUGGAUAGGCCAUCCCGCCGGUCCAUUCCCGCCCCACCCCCAUCCCGCGCGUGGAAUCCCCUUUGACUCCCAGCCGCCCCUGCCGACGCCCAUUAGCCACGCCUGUCGGCGGGCCGCCUCGCAUCGCCCGAUCCGCCGCCCAUCCCGCCUCCUCACCCAGGUCUCCUACCCAGGAGGAGGACUAGGAGGAGCAGGAGGAGGGGAGGCCUGCUGGGCGCGCGCAGGAGGCUCCCCGCCGGUCCCCGAAGCCUAAACUGCAAGAUCCACCCACGCCCUCUCCAUUGCCACUCCACCGGUCGCGUAGAGAAGAUCGAGAAACGCAGCCUAACGCCGGUGUCGAGCUGAUUCCGGGGAUGAUUCCACUCAAACGUAAUGAACAUAUAUGAACAGGCAAUCUGGUCAUACCUUUGUAGUUCUAUUUGGAAGACAGUUAGAGAACAUUAGCUACCAACAAUAGCACUAUUUUUUGUCCGGCGAGGACAUCGACAUGCAGCCUGCUACGGACUCCACCACCAAUCAUCCUCAUGUAGUGGCGUGAGGUGCCCAUGUGUCAAGAUGGUGGUGCAACGGCUGGCAACAGCGUGUCUGGAUGCCAUGGGCAGAUGGGUGACAGUGAUAUACGUCCUACAUAGAUGACUUAUGUACGUGUCCGACCUGCCCUCUUUUACUUUUUCUUAGCAUGAGGUCUGGACAACUGCUUAUGUGUGUACGUGAUCAUGACUCUUUUUGACGGGCUAUUUCUAAUUCUUUCUAUUUUAAGGGAAUAUUUCUAAUUCUUUCUAUGUCCCAUUUUGUAGAUUUGCUUCAGAUCACGGAAGCUUGGGUUGAUGGAGUGCUUGUCUUUAGUUUUUGUUUUGACUUUGUGAAACUUGCUACCUAUGAUGAAACU